Long non-coding RNA from Hemicordylus capensis (graceful crag lizard), 749 nucleotides. RefSeq lists it as uncharacterized. The transcript is spliced from 3 exons. The record is from RefSeq and is a predicted model, not a curated record. NCBI's taxonomy places the organism in Eukaryota, Metazoa, Chordata, Lepidosauria, Squamata, Cordylidae.
CUUCGACCUGUAAUAUGCAGCUGUUAGAAGAAGUGAAAUGUGUUUGCAUUAAGUUCCUCACUACACAGGGCAGUUGAUGCUGCAAAAUCCUAUAUUGACGGAGAGGGUCCCGCGUUGGCCUACAGGCAGACUGUGAUUAAGCUAUCAGUGAUGGGGGAGAUCAGAGACUGAGCCCCCUGGAUUGCACAGGCAUACAUGCAACGUAUUUCAUUUAGCACAAAAUGGAAAUCUGCAUCCACUGAUGUAAAUGCAGCGAAGCAUCUCACCAGCUUGCCUUCCAAGGAAAAUUCUACUAUUAGGACUGCGAACCUCCUACAGUAAGAUUCAGCUGAACAGUUUGGAAGAUCUAGUACUGGAUGAGUCACCCCCAUUUUGUUAUACAACAGAAUGACAAAUACCUGAUGAAUGAUUACUUGCCUAGCAAUGAGGAUGCUACUAAAAUAAACAUUCCAAUCAUCCAGAGACGCAGCGGGACUGCACCAUAGAUUUGUUUUUUCUCUCUCCCUCUCUUCCUAACUAUAUUGGCUACUGAAUAAUGGAAAAGGCUAAAGAGGUGUUCUGUCUAUUCAUUUGUAUAGAGAAGGAGAAGAGAUGAGUGAUUGUGGAACUGGAAUGGCAAUUUGGGGCCCUGAGCAGCUCUCACAGUGUGAUAAUGUUGUAUGGGGGGAAAUUACGGUGUUGCGGUAUUAUUAUGCAAUUUAUAAUGAACGCAAAGCUCGAGAGACAUAUUAUAGGAUUUGUUGCAGUGG